This 787-nucleotide ribosomal RNA is filed under the name Actinomycetota bacterium. Its description in RNAcentral is "bacterial SSU rRNA". It matches the Rfam family "Bacterial small subunit ribosomal RNA", at positions 1 to 775 of the family's 1533-position model. Lineage: Bacteria; Bacillati; Actinomycetota. The record is from RNAcentral.
AGUUCGGAGAGUUUGAUCCUGGCUCAGGACGAACGCUGACGGUGUGCUUUAGACAUGCAAGUCGAACGCGAAAGCCCUUCGGGGCGAGUAGAGUGGCGAACGGGUGAGUAACACGUGGGUAACCUGCCCCUCGCAGGGGGACAACCGGGGGAAACCCCGGCUAAUACCCCGUACGCUUGCCGGGUCGCAUGGCCCGGCAAGGAAAGGUAGCUUCGGCCAUCCGGCGAGGGAUGGGCCCGCGGUCCAUUAGCUAGUUGGUGGGGUAACGGCCCACCAAGGCGACGAUGGAUAGCUGGUCUGAGAGGAUGAUCAGUCACACUGGGACUGAGACACGGCCCAGACUCCUACGGGAGGCAGCAGUCGGGAAUCUUGCGCAAUGGGCGAAAGCCUGACGCAGCAACACCGUGUGGGUGAGGAAGGCCUUCGGGUCGUAAAGCCCUGUUGUUGGGGACGAAGGGCAAAGGGUUAAUAGCCCCUAGCCUGACGGUACCCUUCGAGGAAGCCCCGGCUAACUACGUGCCAGCAGCCGCGGUAAUACGUAGGGGGCGAGCGUUGUCCGGAAUUAUUGGGCGUAAAGAGCGUGUAGGCGGUUUGGUAAGUCUGCCGUGAAAACCCGGGGCUCAACCCCGGGCGUGCGGUGGAUACUGCCAGGCUAGAGGGUGGUAGAGGCGAGUGGAAUUCCCGGUGUAGCGGUGAAAUGCGCAGAUAUCGGGAGGAACACCAGUAGCGAAGGCGGCUCGCUGGGCCAUUCCUGACGCUGAGACGCGAAAGCUAGGGGAGCGAACAG